RNAcentral lists this ribosomal RNA (468 nucleotides) under uncultured bacterium. RNAcentral describes it as "partial 16S ribosomal RNA". It matches the Rfam family "Bacterial small subunit ribosomal RNA", at positions 28 to 507 of the family's 1533-position model. The record is from RNAcentral.
GACGAACGCUGGCGGCGUGCUUAACACAUGCAAGUCGAACGGAAAGGCCCUGCUUUUGUGGGGUGCUCGAGUGGCGAACGGGUGAGUAACACGUGAGUAACCUGCCCUUGACUUUGGGAUAACUUCAGGAAACUGGGGCUAAUACCGGAUAGGAGCUCCUGCUGCAUGGUGGGGGUUGGAAAGUUUCGGCGGUUGGGGAUGGACUCGCGGCUUAUCAGCUUGUUGGUGGGGUAGUGGCUUACCAAGGCUUUGACGGGUAGCCGGCCUGAGGAGGUGACCGGCCAACUUGGGGACGGGGAUACGGCCCAGCUCCUACCGGGAGGAAGAAGGGGGGAAUAUGGAACAAGGGGCGAAAGCUUGAGGAAGAACCCCCGGUGGGGGAAGGACGGCUUUCGGGUUGUAAACGGCUUCGGCUGGUAAGGAGGGGGAGGGACGGGUAUUGGGUAAGGAAGAACGGCUUAAUUAGUU